UGACCAGCUGGUUGUUUUUGUUUACUAUUUUGAUUUUUCAAAUUUUAAUCAGUGGCAAAGAAUAAAUAUCAUUUGCGUGGUUAGUGGAGGAAUCGACGUGUGUUAUUGGUCUUUUCUCAGUUAAGUGUUAGAAAGUUUUUUAAAACAUGGAUGAUAAUGAUCUGGAAACAAUUUCAGCGUGUACUUGGGAGAAAAUGAAAAGAAGCAUGUGUGGGGCAGGUUUCCGGGAAGGUGCGUCAGCUGGUUGGGACUUGGCAUUCCAGAGUGGUUUUGACAGCGGCUAUGCACAAGGUUAUAACGAUGGGUUUCUCCUUGGUGUACUAAAAGGAAUUCUGAGUGUGCAUGGACCCGAAUUUGGCAGUGACGCGCCGAAGAGCGAUGUCUCGUUUACUGAGAACAUAUUGAAGAAGUGUUCAGCGGGCAUGUGUCAGCGGUGUGCAGACAGUGGAACCACCUGUGAAGACUUCACACAACUUACCAACAGUCAGCAAGUGUUGUCUCAGACUGUGUUGAAUGAUCUAGCUGUAAAAUAUUCAAGCAUUUUGAAAGAACAUGACAUAGAUUUUAACAAAUGAAUAAGUUGGCUACUGUUUUGUUUGGUUCCCAUUGUCUUCAACUUUUCAAUAAGUAGUCCUACCUCCUAAUCAUAUUUAUGAGGCAUAGUGGUGUGCCACUAUUCAGCAUUUUCUGGGUAUAUGCUCAAUAUCAUAUUGUGUUUUUGUAUUUAAAGGCAAACUGAAGAGCUGCUUCAUUUUUUUAUCAUUUAUAUUUACAAAUAUAUUUGUUACGCUAGACAAAAUAAUAUAACUGUUAUGGUGGAUUGUUUGUAAUCUUUUGUUUUGGACUGUUCUAUACAGUGGUGACUCUUUGGUCACCUCUAAAUUCCGAGCAAUUUGCUGUCUCAGCCUUCUUCAUGUCUUGGCUGCCAUAAUGAACAUUUUCUAGUUGUAGCUUCUGCUCUGUCACAAAAUUAUGAAGUGAUUCAAGUGCAUCUAACCACCUGAAGGGGUGAGUUAUUUCACGAUUCCUUUGAGAAUCGAGUUUAAAGUAUUAUUUUCAUGAUCCAUUUAUUAUUUAUGGACUUGCCACAUCUUUUGUUUAGCGGUGGGCGUCCUGGUGUGACGGAGCCGUGUCUGAAAUGAAUACCUGAUUAUCUACUAGGAGUGGAUUUCCCUCCUCUCUCCUACGGCCUCAGGAUGUGCACCAGAUAAGAUUUACUCUUGUGUUCUCCGCAUGCAGCAUGCAUUCUUCGGACAAUUAAAUUUCUCUUUUGAUCCAUUAACCUGCCAAAAUUAAAAUCAGGACAUAACAUAAAUGAUUAAUUGUCUUGUACCAUAAUUAAUUCUUUUCUUGAUUUAAACUAGUGGGGGCCCCAGAGAUAAACUUAUUAUCAAUUACGAGAUUUACUAAUACUCAUGUCACAUGUGUUAAGAGUUUAUAUUUAUUUCUGUAAUUUUGUUUUGUUAAUUAUACAUAUUUAUAAAAGAACAAAAGUAAAGUGUAAUAUGGCUGCCCUCUGAAAAAUGUC
Long non-coding RNA from Bacillus rossius redtenbacheri, 1528 nucleotides. RefSeq lists it as uncharacterized. NCBI's taxonomy places the organism in Eukaryota, Metazoa, Arthropoda, Insecta, Phasmatodea, Bacillidae. The record is from RefSeq and is a predicted model, not a curated record. The transcript is spliced from 3 exons.